GAUGAACGCUGGCGGCGUGCCUAAUACAUGCAAGUCGAGCGAACAGACGAGGAGCUUGCUCCUCUGACGUUAGCGGCGGACGGGUGAGUAACACGUGGAUAACCUACCUAUAAGACUGGGAUAACUUCGGGAAACCGGAGCUAAUACCGGAUAAUAUAUUGAACCGCAUGGUUCAAUAGUGAAAGACGGUUUUGCUGUCACUUAUAGAUGGAUCCGCGCCGCAUUAGCUAGUUGGUAAGGUAACGGCUUACCAAGGCGACGAUGCGUAGCCGACCUGAGAGGGUGAUCGGCCACACUGGAACUGAGACACGGUCCAGACUCCUACGGGAGGCAGCAGUAGGGAAUCUUCCGCAAUGGGCGAGAGCCUGACGGAGCAACGCCGCGUGAGUGAUGAAGGUCUUCGGAUCGUAAAACUCUGUUAUUAGGGAAGAACAAAUGUGUAAGUAACUAUGCACGUCUUGACGGUACCUAAUAAGAAAGCCACGGCUAACUACGUG
Molecule: ribosomal RNA, 497 nt
Filed under: uncultured bacterium
Lineage: Bacteria
Description: partial 16S ribosomal RNA
Rfam family: Bacterial small subunit ribosomal RNA
Source: RNAcentral